RNAcentral lists this microRNA precursor (103 nucleotides) under Marmota monax (woodchuck). Lineage: Eukaryota; Metazoa; Chordata; Mammalia; Rodentia; Sciuridae. The record is from RNAcentral.
AGUGGGAUAGCUGGGUCAAAUGGUGGUUCCAUUCCCAGAUUUCCAAGGAAUCUCCAUACUGCUUUCCAUAUUGGCUGUACCAAUUUGCAGUCCCACGAGCAAU